RNAcentral lists this long non-coding RNA (1340 nucleotides) under Nicotiana benthamiana. RNAcentral's name for it is "long non-coding RNA (NBEN_LNC005913)". The record is from RNAcentral. Lineage: Eukaryota; Viridiplantae; Streptophyta; Magnoliopsida; Solanales; Solanaceae.
UCAGUCAAUAACAACAUGCUAGCAGAUUAACUUCACUACUUGCAUUGGGCCAAAGUAAUGCUCCCUAUAUCAAGUUUACACCUUAAAUUUCUCAUUACUGCUAGUAAACUAAUUUUUACAAUGUAAUGCAAAUAAGCAAAUUAAUCAGUGAUGUCUUUCCAGCCUAAAUUAUAGGAAACGAAAUUCCUUAAUUCCAAAUAAAAAAUAAAAUCUUAUCCAGUUGAUGUAGUUAGCAAAAAAAAAAGAAAAAACUUGAAACAUACAAAAAGAAAAAAAAUUCAAAGUCCUAAUAAACAUAGACCAAUGUAAUAAACAAAAUGGCAUGGCAAAAUAUCUAGUGGAUUCCAAUUUUUAUCACACAAAACCAAGAGGCAAUAUUCAAUAAUUUUAACCAAAUUUCCAUAAGCUUUACGUAAACUAAUCACGAGCGCAUUCAAAAGCUUAAACAGACAGAAACUAUAAAAUUAUCAGUUCAGCAAAUAUCUAACAAUAACUUAUAAUCAUGUAGCUUAGUAAAAUUGAAGAAAAGAGGAAAGAUAAGAGCGAACCUCAAAUCAAUAAACUUUCUUCAAUAUUCAAAAGGCGAAUUUGUACAACACAUUAUCGUUCCGACAGCUAAAGUGAAGUUUCAUCAACGAAAUCCGGACCGGGAACCUCGUCGUUCGACUCAAAGUGCAAUAACUUGUCAACUUUUGGUAUAAAUCAACCAAAUCGGAACUUCUAACGGCUAAACAAACUCGGCGGCUCUUGACUGGAGCUCUCAUCGGUGAACCCAUACGAAAACAGCAACCUCGACCUCCACUUUGAUGUCACCGUUUACAUCGAAAACAGGGUUGUUCUGGGGUGUUCUUAGCUGGGAUUUGGUGGUCUAAGGUUGGAUUUGAGGGCUGUUUUGUUGUCUUUUUGGGGCUGAAAUUUCCAGCUAGUUUGGAUGGUGUUUUAAAACGGCAGCUCGUAGAAGACGAUGGGCAUGGUUGAAACUUUUUGGAAUGGAGACCGUUCUUCUUCUGCUGAAGAAGCAAAAGAUCUGAAGGCUACCUCUUUUGUUGUCUCUUAGCUUUAGGUCUCUCGGGCGAGGCAGCUCGUAGAAGACGAUGGGCGUGGUUGAAACUUUUUGGAAUGGAGACCAUUCUUCUUCUGCUGAAGAAGCAAAAGAUCUGAAGGCUACCUCUUUUGUUGUCUCUUAGCUUUAGGUCUCUCGGGCGUUACUUUGUGUUGUUCUUUUAGAGAGAAACGACUGAUUGGUAUUUUCUGAUGUACGUCUAUUUUAGGCGUUAGAUACUAUUACGUGUACGAAUUACUUUAGGGGUAUGGACCUAAGUCUAAAAUGGUUAUUCGAG